RNAcentral lists this ribosomal RNA (814 nucleotides) under uncultured Enterococcus sp. RNAcentral's name for it is "bacterial SSU rRNA". It matches the Rfam family "Bacterial small subunit ribosomal RNA", at positions 10 to 797 of the family's 1533-position model. Lineage: Bacteria; Bacillati; Bacillota; Bacilli; Lactobacillales; Enterococcaceae. The record is from RNAcentral.
AGUUUGAUCCUGGCUCAGGACGAACGCUGGCGGCGUGCCUAAUACAUGCAAGUCGAACGCUUCUUUUCUACCGAGUGCUUGCACUCACUUGAAAAGAGGAGUGGCGGACGGGUGAGUAACACGUGGGUAACCUGCCCAUCAGAGGGGGAUAACACUUGGAAACAGGUGCUAAUACCGCAUAACAGUCGACACCGCAUGGUGUUGAUUUGAAAGACGCUUUCGGGUGUCACUGAUGGAUGGACCCGCGGUGCAUUAGCUAGUUGGUGAGGUAACGGCUCACCAAGGCCAUGAUGCAUAGCCGACCUGAGAGGGUGACCGGCCACACUGGGACUGAGACACGGCCCAGACUCCUACGGGAGGCAGCAGUAGGGAAUCUUCGGCAAUGGACGAAAGUCUGACCGAGCAACGCCGCGUGAGUGAAGAAGGUUUUCGGAUCGUAAAACUCUGUUGUUAGAGAAGAACAAGUAGGAGAGUAACUGCUCCUACCUUGACGGUAUCUAACCAGAAAGCCACGGCUAACUACGUGCCAGCAGCCGCGGUAAUACGUAGGUGGCAAGCGUUGUCCGGAUUUAUUGGGCGUAAAGCGAGCGCAGCGGUUUCUUAAGUCUGAUGUGAAAGCCCCCGGCUCACCGGGGAGGGUCAUUGGAAACUGGGAGACUUGAGUGCAGAGGAGGAGAGUGGAUUCCAUGUGUAGCGGUGAAAUGCGUAAGAUAUUUUGGAGAACACCGUAGGCGAGCCGACUCUCCUUGUCUUGUACUGACCGCUGAGCUCGAAAGCGUGGGGGAGACAAACAAGAUAGAUACCCUGUAGUCCA